AUGUUGGAAAAUAAUGCAUGGAUUUUGCAGACAGCUUGUAGUUUGAUAAGAGCUGAUGAAGGGGCAGCUAGUCUCUCCAUUUGUGCUGAUUUUGUGGAACAUCCAGACUCCCAAGAAAACUGUGGCAAUUCUGAAUCAUUGACUUGCUGCAAUGAUGGCCUGGAUAUGGGUUAACAAGACUGGAGAGCAGUACUGCUGAUAAGCUGUAGGCAACAUAACCAAAAACUUGGUAAUAUAAUUGGUUCUUUAUGGUGUUGCACUUCCUCUGAAGGAUCAGUUUCUUCACAGGGGAGUCAUUAAUAUUCAGGUGGCUUCUGUAGUCAAGAGUGACUUUGCCCAAUGUUAUCUAGUGGGAUGACUGUAUCCUUUCCUGGAAAAGGUGGCUCUGCUUACAAUAUUAUCUCUGUUUCACUCUACUCCCUGAAUAGAUCACUGGAAUGCACUAUGCAUGGGACUGCUCUUUUAAAAAAUACUCAAUAACUGCAUGUAAUGCAAUAUAUAGUCAGUUUCCUCACUAUCGCAUGCUUUUUAAAACUAUUGCAUGCUUUUCCUCACUAUUGCAUGUUAUCCUUUGAUCAGUUGCACUGAUUUCUAUCUACUUUAACGGCUUAGUUUUAGCACUGGUGUCCACCUAUAAAGACCUAAAUAACAUAUGGACAGAUAUCUGAAAGAACAUCUCAUUCCAUAGGACCAUAUUCAUGAGUUGAGACAAUCUUUAGAGUCCAUGUGGUACUUUCCCAAGACUCAACAGAUGUGGAAGCCAAGGUAUGGAAAAUGACUUUCUGAAAGUGCAGCUCUUAGAAUCAACCAACCAACGUAGCCAACCAUCAGCAUGUUACUAAGCCUUCUCAGUGACAUCAUCUUCAUUGUGUAAUUCUAUCAAUUUGUGAUGUGUUUGGGAUGGCAAUGAAAACUGUACUUGGCUUUUAGUGUUUUAUUUUUUAAUCUAAUAGUUUUAAUUAUUUUUAGUUAUUCUUUAGUCAUUAUGGUGGAAUCACUUUGGGCCCCUUGUCAACUCUGAAACAGUAUAAAACCAUUUGUAUUCAUUAGGCAAUGACUAUUGCUAUACCUUGCUGUCAUGAAAUCUACAAAUGAUUUGUGUGUUAUUUGAAAAGGAAUGUGUGAACUGGCUGCCUUUACCCUUGGAAUAGGUCAGAAGAAGCCCUUAAUUCUUUGUUAAUUUACUCAUGCAUCAAUGUAUAUUUGAGCAAAAGCAGAGACUUGGGAAAAGUUUUACCAGUCUUAUGAACUUUAUGACCUUAAAUUGCUGAACUUCAGUUGGUCUCCAGUCUGAUAAUCCACUGUGUAUGAUUCAUGCUACAAUGGCCCCUUUUAUUUUAAAUUGCUAACCCAUGAAUGGAUUCCAAGUCGCCUGCCAGGCAAAAAAGAGGAUUCAACCCUGCAGUAUGCAGAGGGGGAAAGAGAGAGACAGAAAGAGGACAAGGCACAAUUAAUAAGCUUUUAAGGAUGUUUUGCAUUUUUCAAAUAGACCACAGCAUCACAAGAUUGAAAGCCAGAUAAAGAAACCACUAUUUUAAUAGUAAACAUUAAAUAGUACAUGAUCAGCAUCAUUUGAAAUGACAGCUCCUUUUGGACACGGAAGGGCUUGAUCCCCAUUCAUGAUGAUUCAUACUAUUUUCAAAUUAUACUGCCUUAAACUGUAACAAUAAUAACAAUAACAUAUUCAUUGGGCUUUCAUAGUAAGACUCUUUCAGGAACUCACUGUGCAGUCUUUCAUUUACAUGGAUGCAAACAUGCUCCCAAACAAAAUCUGGGGAUAUUAAUGGUGGUCAUCGUAGCUCUAGGUCAC
RNAcentral lists this long non-coding RNA (1810 nucleotides) under Anolis carolinensis (green anole). RNAcentral describes it as "lncRNA (ENSACAG00000035287.1)". The record is from RNAcentral. Lineage: Eukaryota; Metazoa; Chordata; Lepidosauria; Squamata; Anolidae.